GACGAGGUGGCCGAGUGGUUAAGGCGAUGGACUGCAAAUACAUUGGGCUUUGCCCGAGUGCGUUCGAAUCCCAUCUUUGUCA
Molecule: transfer RNA, 82 nt
Filed under: Trichonephila inaurata madagascariensis
Lineage: Eukaryota; Metazoa; Arthropoda; Arachnida; Araneae; Nephilidae
Rfam family: tRNA
About the family: Transfer RNA (tRNA) molecules are approximately 80 nucleotides in length.
Source: Rfam by way of RNAcentral